Molecule: long non-coding RNA, 2432 nt
Organism: Phyllopteryx taeniolatus (common seadragon)
Lineage: Eukaryota; Metazoa; Chordata; Actinopteri; Syngnathiformes; Syngnathidae
Exons: 3
Source: RefSeq, a predicted model, not a curated record
GGCCGCUCUGCCUCUUACAAGCCGGGUGCACGUCAUGUGCUAAUGUGGCAACGAAAAAAAGAAAAAAAGGCAAAAGCAAUAACGUACAGAGUCUGUGUGACGCCCUCGCCGCCCCACCGUCGUGCGACCCCCUCGUAAUGGGCCAUCCAGAGAGAAUUCCAUGACCCGCAAAGCACAGCAGCAACAUCCCUAAGGUCAACGAUGUGUUUCAUCAUCAUCAUCACAGUAUCACCAUAAAUCAUCAGUGCCUGUUGAUGUUUUCCUCCAGGCGUGCUGCUGCAGAGAUGUUUCGUUAUCUUCUUAUGACGUGCAGAAGAGGCCGCUUCAACUCCCUGGCCAGUUCAAGCAAGCUGGGAGAUGAGCUGGAGUCCAUGGGAACACGUCUGCAGAGCUGCACAGGUUAAGUCAAGCAUUCUGGUUUGAUUCCUUUAUGAUGAAGUAAGUGUCUACCAGUCAAGGAAGGACGUCCACUUACGAAAGAGACAAUUUCCUGCACACCUGUUGCUCACACAGCUGAUGUAACACAGAAGACAAGAAUGUAUUUCAUUUCCACCCAAAAGAAAACGGGAACUCCUGAAAUCACAGUAGAACCUCUGAGGUCGAACACGAUCCAUUCUGGAAUGCUUUUUUUCUUUAGAUUUUUCCCAUAGGACAUAAUGUAGUGGCGGCAUGAUGGGUUUUCUCCAGAUACUUUUUUCCACAUUCCAAAAACAUGCACGUUUGGUUAAUUGAACGCUUUAAAUUGCCCAUAGUGAGUGUGAAUGCUUGUUUGUCUAUGUGCGCCUUUAGAUUGGCUGGCAACCAGUCCAAAUUCCAAUAUUUGUUGUAUUUUAUGCUCUCCCUUACCAUAGUUCGGGUAUGUGGACGUUAAAUUAUUUUAUUUUUAUUAUUAUAUAUAUAUUUUUUUUUUAAAAUCUGCCUAUGGCUCUUCAGAAUCAGCAGUGCUGGCUUAUGUAACUUAAACUACAGCAUUUUAGCAAUGGGACUGUUUCUUUCGCCAGUUAUAUUUCAAAUUCAUCCUCAGAGGGCCACUGAGCUGGCCCUCGAUGAUGUCAGCAUGUUUCCAUCCUCUGAUUGGUUCAACGAGCAAAACACGACUGUAGUGUUCUUCACACAAUACAUUUAAUAAUCAGCCUCUCUGGUAAGUAUGAUGUAUUUUAUUUAAAUUAUGUUUUUGUUAUGUUAUUAGAUAAAUAUCGAUCGUGAACUGCUCCAGAUAAUGUACAUACUGUAGCACAGUGGCAAGCUGUUUUAUUGCAUCUUUGUAUAGUGCUGAUGGUUUCUAAUCGCAAUGUGAUAGUGGUGGUAUUAAGAGGUGGAUUAAGUCGGGUAAGACCUCAUUGAAGGCCUAGGUACCAAAUGGGCCUGCCACUGAAUGAGAGACACACACACGUAUCUUGCUGUUAAUGGACAGUACAUUGAUGCUUUAACACAGUGGGCGCUCUGUUCAGUGGUAAUGAUUUAUGUGAGUUCAAGUCCCUGUCUUUAUGUGGAAAAUCUAUUUGGAUAUGGGAAGAGCCACACGGCAGAAAGUAGGUUUUUCUUAAACAAAUGAUACAAGGACUUCCAUUUUCGUCACACAACUACACUGCAACCCUCAGCAAAACAUUAGCCUGUAAUAAAGUGGCCACAAGCAGCAAGGCUAAUGUUCCACUUUGACAGGUGUUAGAUUCCAGUAUCUCUUAAUCCAUCCUUGAAACGAUCAAGUUUCCCCAAGGAAGUGUAUGUUUCCGGUUAUUCAUGCAGCAACUUGUCUCGACGUGAGUGUGUUUGUGCUAAAAAGAUCACCCAGCAAGUGCACCAGGAAUACAAUUUUUUAUUACGUUUUUUUUUUUAUUUUUUUUUACUAACUACUGCUUUUUUACAUGUACUGCAUAUAAUGUUAUAUUUGCCCAUGUAUGCAUUUUUGUACUGCUUGGUCACAGGUGAACUGCAGCCUAUCCUAGCUGAGUCACAUACAGACAAGCAGCCAUUCAUACCCACAUUUACAUCUAUCAACAAUUUAGAGUCUUCAGUGAACCUAACAAGCAUGUUUUUGGGAAAGUUCAACCCUGGUUUCAUUGGACCAUAACAAAGUCUCCCAAGCACAUGAAAAAUGUAUGUUUGGUGCGAACAACAAUGAUCAUCACCAAAAGAACACCAUUCCUACAUUGUAUGUAGUAUGUUGAUAACAGUGUCAUGCUUUGGGGCUUUUUUUCUUCAGCUGGACAUGAGGCCUUAGACAAGGUGGAGGGACAUAGUGUGAGAACGAAACCUACAGGCUUCUGCCAGAAAGAAAAUGUCAGAAAAAACCCAAAUGAACAGCUGCACUUUAUUGGGGUGAAUCAAAGACACUUUAUAUGGUGGUAGGUGUGUGCUGGCUAGCCAUUUAGUAUAACUUUGAAGGUGAUUGGUUAAAUCUGAACACAGCCACAUUCAAGUUAUAAAAGCGU